RNAcentral lists this ribosomal RNA (98 nucleotides) under Alphaproteobacteria bacterium. Its description in RNAcentral is "partial 16S ribosomal RNA". It matches the Rfam family "Bacterial small subunit ribosomal RNA", at positions 1 to 108 of the family's 1533-position model. The record is from RNAcentral. Lineage: Bacteria; Pseudomonadati; Pseudomonadota; Alphaproteobacteria.
UCAACCUGAGAGUUUGAUCCUGGCUCAGAGCGAACGCUGGCGGCAGGCCUAACACAUGCAAGUCGAACGAACUCUUCGGAGUUAGUGGCGGACGGGUG